Molecule: ribosomal RNA, 306 nt
Filed under: uncultured bacterium
Lineage: Bacteria
Description: partial 16S ribosomal RNA
Rfam family: Bacterial small subunit ribosomal RNA
Source: RNAcentral
GACAGCAGUCGCCGCGGUAAUACGAAGGGUGCAAGCGUUACUCGGAAUUACUGGGCGUAAAGCGUGCGUAGGUGGUGGUUUAAGUCCGUUGUGAAAGCCCUGGGCUCAACCUGGGAAUUGCAGUGGAUACUGGGUCACUAGAGUGUGGUAGAGGAUAGUGGAAUUUCCGGUGUAGCAGUGAAAUGCGUAGAGAUCGGAAGGAACAUCUGUGGCGAAGGCGACUAUCUGGGCCAACACUGACACUGAGGCACGAAAGCGUGGGGAGCAAACAGGAUUAGAUACCCCCGUAGUCCCUGUCUCUUAUAC